CACGGGGGGAGCAAGCGUUGUUCGGAAUCACUGGGCGUAAAGGGCGUGUAGGCGGUCAAGUAAGUGGGAUGUGAAAUGCCCCGGCUCACCCGGGGACCUGCAUCCCAAACUGCUUGGCUUGAGUAUGGGAGAGGAUGAGGGAAUUCCUGGUGUAGCGGUGAAAUGCGUAGAUAUCAGGAGGAACACCGGUGGCGAAAGCGCUCAUCUGGCCCAAUACUGACGCUGAGGCGCGAAAGCUAGGGGAGCAAACGGG
This 253-nucleotide ribosomal RNA is filed under the name uncultured bacterium. RNAcentral describes it as "partial 16S ribosomal RNA". It matches the Rfam family "Bacterial small subunit ribosomal RNA", at positions 524 to 776 of the family's 1533-position model. The record is from RNAcentral.